This 220-nucleotide unclassified non-coding RNA is filed under the name plant metagenome. RNAcentral's name for it is "partial contains small subunit ribosomal RNA, internal transcribed spacer 1, and 5.8S ribosomal RNA". The record is from RNAcentral.
UUUCCGUAGGUGAACCUGCGGAAGGAUCAUUACAGAGUUCAUGCCCUCACGGGUAGAUCUCCCACCCUUGAAUAUUUAUACCUUAGUUGCUUUGGCAGGCCGUGGAAACACCAUGGGCUCCGGCUUAUGCGUGCCUGCCAGAGGAAACAAACUCUGUUUUUAGUGAUGUCUGAGUACUAUAUAAUAGUUAAAACUUUCAACAACGGAUCUCUUGGCUCUC